Molecule: ribosomal RNA, 473 nt
Filed under: uncultured bacterium
Lineage: Bacteria
Description: bacterial SSU rRNA
Rfam family: Bacterial small subunit ribosomal RNA
Source: RNAcentral
GACGAACGCUGGCGGCGUGCUUAACACAUGCAAGUCGAGCGAGGCCCUUCCUUCGGGGAGGUGUUCUAGCGGCGAACGGGUGAGUAACACGUGGGCAACCUGCCCCUGGCUCUGGGAUAACUACCAAGAAAUUAGGGGCGUAAUACCGGAUAUGACCGCUGACCGCAUGGUCUGGUGGUGGAAAGAUUUAUCGGCUGGGGAUGGCCCGCGGCCUAUCAGCUUGUUGGUGGGGUAGUGGCCUACCAAGGCGACGACGGGUAGCCGGCCUGAGAGGGUGACCGGCCACACUGGGACUGAGACACGGCCCAGACUCCUACGGGAGGCAGCAGUGGGGAAUAUUGCGCAAUGGGCGAAAGCCUGACGCAGCAACGCCGCGUGGAGGAUGAAGGCCCUUGGGUUGUAAACUCCUGUCGGCUGGGAAGAAAUCUUCCCGGGGCUAAUACCUCCGGAGGUUGACUGUACCAGCAAAGGAA